RNAcentral lists this ribosomal RNA (495 nucleotides) under uncultured bacterium. Its description in RNAcentral is "partial 16S ribosomal RNA". It matches the Rfam family "Bacterial small subunit ribosomal RNA", at positions 28 to 507 of the family's 1533-position model. The record is from RNAcentral.
GACGAACGCUGGCGGCGUGCCUAAUACAUGCAAGUAGAACGCUGAAGGAGGAGCUUGCUUCUCUGGAUGAGUUGUGAACGGGUGAGUAACGCGUAGGUAACCUGCCUGGUAGCGGGGGAUAACUAUUGGAAACGAUAGCUAAUACCGCAUAAGAGUAGAUGUUGCAUGACAUUUGCUUAAAAGGUGCAAUUGCAUCACUACCAGAUGGACCUGCGUUGUAUUAGCUAGUUGGUGGGGUAACGGCUCACCAAGGCGACGAUACAUAGCCGACCUGAGAGGGUGAUCGGCCACACUGGGACUGAGACACGGCCCAGACUCCUACGGGAGGCAGCAGUAGGGAAUCUUCGGCAAUGGACGGAAGUCUGACCGAGCAACGCCGCGUGAGUGAAGAAGGUUUUCGGAUCGUAAAGCUCUGUUGUAAGAGAAGAACGAGUGUGAGAGUGGAAAGUUCACACUGUGACGGUAUCUGACCAGAAAGGGACGGCUAACUACGUG